UCUAAGGGAGAAGAGUCCGUUGGUGAGCUGCGAUCUAUCGUUUAUUGUAAGGAGCUGCUUCUGCGGGCCCGCCGCUUGUCUGCCGCCGGGGGGGCGCCUCUGCCCCCCGGGCCCGUGCCCGCCGGAGACCCCAACACGAACACUGUCUGAAAGCGUGCAGUCUGAGUUGAUUGAAUGCAAUCAGUUAAAACUUUCAACAAUGGAUCUCUUGGUUCCGGCAUCGAUGAAGAACGCAGCGAAAUGCGAUAACUAAUGUGAAUUGCAGAAUUCAGUGAAUCAUCGAGUCUUUGAACGCACAUUGCGCCCCCUGGUAUUCCGGGGGGCAUGCCUGUCCGAGCGUCAUUGCUGCCCUCAAGCCCGGCUUGUGUGUUGGGUCGCCGUCCCCCUCUCCGGGGGGACGGGCCCGAAAGGCAGCGGCGGCACCGCGUCCGAUCCUCGAGCGUAUGGGGCUUUGUCACAUGCUCUGUAGGAUUGGCCGGCGCCUGCCGACGUUUUCCAACCAUUCUUUCCAGGUUGACCUCGGAUCAGGUAGGGAUACCCGCUGAACUUAAGCAUAUCAAAGUCCGGGAGGAACAUUACCGAGUGCGGGUCCUUUGGGCCAACCUCCAUCGGGAUCUUUUGUACCCGGUUUGCUUCGGCGGGCCCCUCGUUGGCGCCCGGGAGGGGGCCCUCUCCCC
RNAcentral lists this ribosomal RNA (677 nucleotides) under Aspergillus awamori. Its description in RNAcentral is "eukaryotic LSU rRNA". The stretch from base 189 to 342 matches the Rfam family "5.8S ribosomal RNA". The record is from RNAcentral. Lineage: Eukaryota; Fungi; Ascomycota; Eurotiomycetes; Eurotiales; Aspergillaceae.